Molecule: unclassified non-coding RNA, 2029 nt
Filed under: Hevea brasiliensis (rubber tree)
Lineage: Eukaryota; Viridiplantae; Streptophyta; Magnoliopsida; Malpighiales; Euphorbiaceae
Source: RNAcentral
ACCAUUGUCCUUCAAAAUUUUUAUACAAAUCCUGCAAAAUCAAAUUCUAUUUCUUUUGAAAAAUCCGCCAUGGAUACACCUUCAGCCCCCUCUUCCUCUUCUGUGCAAAAACCCUGACAAAAACCCACUUUCAUGCUAGCUCUUCCUCUCUCUUUGGACCUUCAAUUUCUAUCUGCAGACCAAAAUUAGGGCAAAUGGGAUCUACUGUACCAUUUCAGGACCUCAACCUCUCUCCAUCUCCAUCUUCAUCUCCGCUGUCCACCAACGCUGCUGUCCCUACCCCGCCUCCUCUUUUAAUACCAAAGAUUGAACCUAAACUUGAGCCGCUUGACGAUCUAGUUGAAACACCUCAGCCCCAAGAACCUCAAGACCCUUUGUAUCCCGAAUUUACCCCUAACUUGUUCUCUAAUUCCGAACAUACCCCUCCUUCCCAAUCCUCCGCCCUCUCUUCCUCCCAAGAAGACAAUGUCUACUCCGAAUACCACAGAAUAUCCGAGCUUUUUCGUACUGCGUUCGCCAAACGCUUGCAGCAGCAGUACGGCGACGUUUCGGUGUUGGACCCAGAUUCUCGCGCGAUCGUCCCUGUCAAUGAAGACAGUAGUCUCUCCUCCGUUGUCGUCACCCGGCCUCCUCGCCGAUACCCGAAGCGCUCUUCGGAGCUUGUCCGCGUGACCGACCUGGGAAUCGAGGACCAGCGGUAUUUCCGAGACGUCUGUCGUCGAACCCGUAUGCUAUAUGAUGCCCUCCGCAUCUUCUCCGUCUUGGAGGAAGAGAAACGCCGUGGCGAGAGCCUCGGCCGCCGGGCCCGUGGCGAUCUCCUCGCCGCCUCCUUGAUGCGUGAACGCGGGCUUUGGCUCAACCGCGAUAAGCGGAUCGUGGGGUCCAUCCCUGGAGUUGAAGUUGGGGAUCUCUUCUUUUUCCGGAUGGAAUUGUGCGUGGUUGGACUCCAUGGCCAAGUCCAAGCAGGAAUUGAUUACCUUCCGGCAAGCCAGAGCUCCAAUAGGGAGCCCAUUGCGACAAGCAUUAUAGUUUCGGGCGGCUAUGAGGACGAUGAGGACUCUGGAGAUAUGUUAAUCUACACGGGGCACGGUGGACAGGACAAGUUUUCGAGGCAAUGUAUGCACCAGAAGCUGGAAGGAGGGAAUUUAGCGUUGGAGAGGAGUAUGCAUUAUGGGAUUGAGGUAAGAGUAAUUAGAGGGUUUAAAUAUGCAGGGAGUUUUACUAAUAAGAUUUACGUUUAUGAUGGUUUGUACAAGAUUCAUGAUUGUUGGUUUGACGUGGGGAAAUCUGGGUUUGGUGUUUAUAAGUACAAACUGUUGAGGAUUGAUGGGCAACCAGAAAUGGGUAGUUCGAUUUUGAGGUUUGCACAGAGUUUGAGAGUUAGUCCAUUGAGUGUGAGGCCUAGGGGGUAUCUUAGUCUUGAUAUUUCCAACAAGAAGGAGAAUAUGCCAGUUAUGUUGUUUAAUGAUAUUGAUAACGAUCAUGAUCCUCUGUGUUAUGAGUAUCUGAUGAGGACAGUGUUUCCACCCUUUGCAUUUAAUCAUGGAAGUAAUGGGACAGGGUGUGAUUGUGUUUCAGGUUGUAUUGAUGGUUGUUUUUGCUCGAUGAAGAAUGGGGGAGAGUUUGCUUAUGAUCAGAGUGGUUUCUUGUUGAGAGGGAAGCCGGUAGUAUUUGAAUGCGGAGCUUUUUGUAAGUGCCCACCAAGUUGCCGAAAUCGGGUAACUCAAAGGGGGGUGAGAAAUAAAUUGGAAGUGUUUAGGUCAAGGGAGACAGGCUGGGGAGUUAGGUCAUUGGAUUUGAUACAUGCUGGUGGAUUUAUAUGUGAAUACGCAGGGGUUGUUCUCACAAGAGAGCAAGCUGAGGUUUUCACAAUGAAUGGUGAUAGCUUGAUUUAUCCAAGUAGGUUUUCUCAGAAAUGGGCUGAAUGGGGGGAUCUGUCUCAGAUUUAUCCUGAUUAUGUACGUCCAUCUUAUCCAUUGAUUCCACCUUUGGAUUUUGCAAUGGAUGUGUCAAAAAUGAGGAAUGUUGC